GUGGGUAUGGUAUUAUAUUGUUUGGUUCAUCCACAAAUAGUUUUGGUGAUUUUUGUGCUAAUGAACUUGUUGAUUUAAUUUGGGGGUUGCAGGGGAAUCCCACUGAUUGGGUUAGCAUCAACUUUGUGAUUAUGAGAGGGGAGGUUUUUAAGGGUAGUUUAGUCUUUUUAUUUUUUUAUUUUUUAUUUUAACCGGUAAACCUGUUAUAACAGGUUAAGAGGGACAAUUUCUGAAACAAAAUUAAAGUUGGAUGAUAUUAUUGAAACAAAUUGAAAUCAAGGGACAUUAAUGAG
This 293-nucleotide unclassified non-coding RNA is filed under the name Hevea brasiliensis (rubber tree). Lineage: Eukaryota; Viridiplantae; Streptophyta; Magnoliopsida; Malpighiales; Euphorbiaceae. The record is from RNAcentral.